This 89-nucleotide non-coding RNA is filed under the name Tiarina fusus. The record is from RNAcentral. Lineage: Eukaryota; Ciliophora; Prostomatea; Prorodontida; Colepidae.
UAGAAAACGAAAAAAAGAAAAAGAAAGACGAAAAGAAAGACGAAAAAAAAAGAAGAAAUAGAUGAGAAUCUUCCACUUUUUCCUUAUAU